UGACGAGCGAAACGAUCCGCCGAGCCGCGCGCUCAAAAAUACGCCGACGAAAAGGAAUAAAAAAAGAAGUGGUCUCCCGCGACUCCCGACGCGGGUGCGUCGCACCACCCCGCAUCGUGCUGCGCCGCGUCUUGUCAUGGCGAAAAUGCCCGAAUCGAGCAUCGGAAUUUUAACUUGAAACUCUUGCCGCCGAUUUGCCCCAUUACACUCCCUUUGCACUCCCCGUAUUAUUUCGCGCAGCAAAAAAUUUGUAAUUUUGGAGGCAUCUCUCGUGUGCUAUAGAUUUAGAACAAAAUCACACAUCUAUGUUAAUUUAUUUACGAUCAAGAGAAAAAUAUAUACGAAUUUCGUUUAAGAAAAACAAAGACGAGGAGAAUGAUUUUGUAUUAAAUGUAUGUUUUAUUUUAGCUUUCUCCUCCAAUAUUUAUGUAAGUAACAAUGAAAAUGACUUAUGCACUAUUUUAAUUCUAACUACGUUAAGGAUAUCUAUAAUAUUACGAUAAUAAAAUAAUAAUAUUUCUUGUACAGUUAUACCCAUUGCCUUUAAUUGUGAUACUUACAAUAAGUUUUUUUUUUUGUAUACAUAUAUUUUUAUCGAAAAACUUCUUAGGUGAAUCAUAUAUGAUCGAUCAAUUUGGUUUAAUCAUAAUUUUUUUUAAAGUUAGCUCUUUUUGUAUCGCAUGUGUAAUCCGAUUAAGCUCCUAUUCUCUUACUACCGUCAUAUUAAAUUACGACAUUUAAAACAAGAAAUUGUGUAAAGUUUUUCCAUUCACUAUACGUCAAAAUAAAUUAAUUUUUUUUUUAUGCAAGCACUCGAAUUCAGUAGCAUGUAUAUA
Linepithema humile (Argentine ant) is the source of this 836-nucleotide long non-coding RNA. RefSeq lists it as uncharacterized. The record is from RefSeq and is a predicted model, not a curated record. Lineage: Eukaryota; Metazoa; Arthropoda; Insecta; Hymenoptera; Formicidae.